This 433-nucleotide ribosomal RNA is filed under the name uncultured bacterium. Its description in RNAcentral is "partial 16S ribosomal RNA". It matches the Rfam family "Bacterial small subunit ribosomal RNA", at positions 29 to 507 of the family's 1533-position model. The record is from RNAcentral.
AACGAACGCUGGCGGCAUGCCUAACACAUGCAAGUCGAACGAGACCUUCGGGUCUAGUGGCGCACGGGUGCGUAACGCGUGGGAACCUGCCCUUAGGUUCGGAAUAACUCCCCGAAAGGGGUGCUAAUACCGGAUAAUGUCUUCGGACCAAAGAUUUAUCGCCUUUGGAUGGGCCCGCGUUGGAUUAGCUAGUUGGUAGGGUAAAAGCCUACCAAGGCGACGAUCCAUAGCUGGUCUGAGAGGAUGAUCAGCCACACUGGGACUGAGACACGGCCCAGACUCCUACGGGAGGCAGCAGUGGGGAAUAUUGGACGAUGGGCGAAGGCCUGAUCCAGCAAUGCCGCGUGAGUGAUGAAGGCCUUAGGGUUGUAAAGCUCUUUUACCCGGGAUGAUAAUGACAGUACCGGGAGAAUAAGCUCCGGCUAACUCCGUG